UACGUAGGGUGCGAGCGUUGUCCGGAAUUACUGGGCGUAAAGAGCUCGUAGGCGGUCUGUUGCGUCGGCUGUGAAAACCCGGGGCUCAACCCCGGGCCUGCAGCCGAUACGGGCAGACUAGAGUUCGGCAGGGGAGACUGGAAUUCCUGGUGUAGAGGUGAAAUGCGCAGAUAUCAGGAGGAACACCGGUGGCGAAGGCGGGUCUCUGGGCCGAUACUGACGCUGAGGAGCGAAAGCGUGGGGAGCGAACAGG
Molecule: ribosomal RNA, 253 nt
Filed under: uncultured bacterium
Lineage: Bacteria
Description: partial 16S ribosomal RNA
Rfam family: Bacterial small subunit ribosomal RNA
Source: RNAcentral